Molecule: ribosomal RNA, 459 nt
Filed under: uncultured bacterium
Lineage: Bacteria
Description: partial 16S ribosomal RNA
Rfam family: Bacterial small subunit ribosomal RNA
Source: RNAcentral
CCUACGGGAGGCAGCAGUGAGGAAUAUUGGUCAAUGGACGAGAGUCUGAACCAGCCAAGUAGCGUGAAGGAUGACUGCCCUAUGGGUUGUAAACUUCUUUUAUAUGGGAAUAAAAUGUUCCACGUGUGGGAUUUUGUAUGUACCAUAUUAAUAAGGAUCGGCAAACACCGUGCCAGCAGCCGCGGUAAUACGGAGGUUCGGAGCGUUAUCCGGAUUGAUUGGGUUAAAGGGGUGCGCAGGCGGAAUGUCAAGUCAGCGGUAAAAUUUCGGGGCUCAACCCCGUCGUGCCGUUGAAACUGGCGUUCUUGAGUGAGCGAGAGGUAUGCGGAAUGCGUGGUGUAGCGGUGAAAUGCAUAGAUAUCACGCAGAACUCCGAUUGCGAAGGCAGCAUACCGGCGCUCAACUGACGCUCAUGCACGAAAGCGUGGGUAUCGAACAGGAUUAGAUACCCCAGUAGUC